Molecule: transfer RNA, 55 nt
Filed under: Miopithecus talapoin (talapoin)
Lineage: Eukaryota; Metazoa; Chordata; Mammalia; Primates; Cercopithecidae
Description: partial tRNA-Phe
Source: RNAcentral
CCUGCCUAAAGCAAGAUACUGAAAAUACCUAGAUGGGUCACGCACCCCAUGGACA